Molecule: ribosomal RNA, 639 nt
Filed under: Triticum aestivum (bread wheat)
Lineage: Eukaryota; Viridiplantae; Streptophyta; Magnoliopsida; Poales; Poaceae
Description: partial small subunit ribosomal RNA
Source: RNAcentral
AUGGCGUGGGCGACACGGUUCCUGUCAGCAGUGUGCUUCUUCGCGGCGGGCGUCCUCUUCGCCCCAGAUGUCUUCAUCGGCGACCGCUCCGGCUCCGGCGCCACCGCCGUCACGGCCGCCAAGGUGUCCCACCUCCUCUGCUUCGCCACCUGCUGGGGCGCUGCGCUCUGGGCUACCUUCAUCGGUGGAAUCAUCAUGUUCAAGAAUCUGCCGAGGCACCAGUUCGGGAACCUGCAGGGGAAGAUGUUCCCGGCCUACUUCACGCUCAUCUCCGCCUGCGCCGCCGUCUCCGUCGCUGCCUUCGCCUACCUCCACCCGUGGAAGGCCGCCUCCGCCGUCGAGCGCUACCAGCUUGGCUUCCUCAUCUCCGCGCUCGGCUUCAACCUCUCCAACCUGCUGGUCUUCACCCCCAUGACCAUUGAGAUGAUGAAGAAGAGGCACAAGAUCGAGAGAGAGCUUAGCAUCGGUGACGAGGUCGGGUGGUCGAAGAACGUCAAGACGGCAAAAAGCAACCCUACCCUCGCUGCGAUGAACAAGAAGUUUGGGAUGAUCCACGGUCUCUCAUCGCUGGCCAACAUCUUGUCGUUCGGCAGCCUUGCCAUGCACUCCUGGUACCUUGCCAGCAAGCUUGAGCUGUGA